AAUAGUCAGUUUUACUAGUUUGUUAGUUGUUAAGCAAAAAUAGCCACAACUUGUGAUGUAUAUAAAUAACUACUUUGAAUGUGAAAUAUAUAACCAAUAUUGUUGGUGAAAUUUCAAGUGAGAAUCACACAAGUGAUCCAUUUUAUUCAACAACCUCUCUCCCCAUCUCUCUUUCUCUCUCCAAAACUUUCUCAAACAACUUUCUAUUUUCUUUUUUUAUUGAAUUGGACAAGGAUGACAUACUAUGUCUUGUGUUUAAUAUAAACAUGAGG
This 272-nucleotide long non-coding RNA is filed under the name Medicago truncatula (barrel medic). Its description in RNAcentral is "long non-coding RNA (MTRU_LNC000729)". Lineage: Eukaryota; Viridiplantae; Streptophyta; Magnoliopsida; Fabales; Fabaceae. The record is from RNAcentral.